AAUAGAUACCCCGGUAGUCCACGCCGUAAACGAUGAGUGCUAAGUGUUAGGGGGUUUCCGCCCCUUAGUGCUGCAGCUAACGCAUUAAGCACUCCGCCUGGGGGAGUACGGUCGCAAGACUGAAACUCAAAGGAAUUGACGGGGGGCCCGCACAAGCGGUGGAGCAUGUGGUUUAAUUCGAAGCAACGCGAAGAACCUUACCAGGUCUUGACAUCCCACUGACCGCUAUGGAGACAUAGCUUUCCCUUCGGGGACAGUGGUGACAGGUGGUGCAUGGUUGUCGUCAGCUCGUGUCGUGAGAUGUUGGGUUAAGUUCCGCAACGAGCGCAACCCUUGAUCUUAGUUGCCAUCAUUUAGUUGGGCACUCUAAGGUGACUGCCGGUGACAAACCGGAGGAAGGUGGGGAUGACGUCAAAUCAUCAUGCCCCUUAUGACCUGGGCUACACACGUGCUACAAUGGACGGUACAAACGGUUGCCAACCCGCGAGGGGGAGCUAAUCCGAUAAAACCGUUCUCAGUUCGGAUUGUAGGCUGCAACUCGCCUAC
RNAcentral lists this ribosomal RNA (546 nucleotides) under uncultured bacterium. RNAcentral's name for it is "bacterial SSU rRNA". It matches the Rfam family "Bacterial small subunit ribosomal RNA", at positions 777 to 1319 of the family's 1533-position model. The record is from RNAcentral.